UGAAGGAGAGAACCUCAAAUUGCCUGUC
RNAcentral lists this non-coding RNA (28 nucleotides) under Mus musculus (house mouse). Lineage: Eukaryota; Metazoa; Chordata; Mammalia; Rodentia; Muridae. The record is from RNAcentral.